AAUAAUUUAAGAGGUUGCAACCAACAAGAGUAAGCAGUAGAGUUUCUAUCGAACUUUGAAGCUGUUGAAAGGGGCGGUUGCCGAAGCACUGGAUCUGGAUAGGGGGUUCGGCUAGCUGGGGCGUAGUUUAAGAGACUGCGAACUGUCGCAGCAAAAUAUGUCGGCUGCGGGGCGCUAUCGACAAU
RNAcentral lists this non-coding RNA (185 nucleotides) under Pediococcus cellicola. RNAcentral's name for it is "Lysine sequence". It matches the Rfam family "Lysine riboswitch aptamer". Rfam says of the family: Riboswitches are metabolite binding domains within certain messenger RNAs that serve as precision sensors for their corresponding targets. Allosteric rearrangement of mRNA structure is mediated by ligand binding, and this results in modulation of gene expression. The record is from Rfam by way of RNAcentral. Lineage: Bacteria; Bacillati; Bacillota; Bacilli; Lactobacillales; Lactobacillaceae.